GCCACUAAAGUUUCCUGCUGCCCUCAUGGCUUCAGGGAUGCUCAGUCACGUCACUGGGAGGAGAUCCUAGUGUGUCCUGUCCUCACCUGCUACAGGCAUACUUGACUUGAACUAUGUUUGUUUUACUCCAACGGACAUUUUAUGUCACAAUGUUUACAGUAGAGACAUACCCCUCCACCAUUGACCCUUUCCACACUGCUGUACCCACCGGGUGAUUUGCAUAUUGUGCCCUAGGGGAGGAGGUAAAAGCUCAGCUGUAACCUUGCCUUGACAGACCAGGACUCCUCAGUUCACCUUCUCACAAUGAGGCUCUCUGCUCAGCUCCUGGGGCGGCUAAUGCUCUGGGUCCCUGGUAAAGACAGAAAAAAUACGAUGUGGGAAAAUGGGGUCAGAAGGAUCCAAUGGAGAUAUUGUGAUGGCCCAGACUCCACUCUCCUGGCCUGUCAGCCUGUCAGCCCUGGAGAGCCAGCCUCCAUGUCCUGCAGGUCUAGUCAGAAUCUCUUGUCCAGUGAUGGAUACACCUAUUUGGAAUGGUACCUGCAGAAGCCAGGCCAGUCUCCACAGCUCCUCAUCUAUUUUGUUUCAAACCGGGCCUCUGGAGUCCCAGACAGGUUCAGUGGCUGUGGGUCAGGCACUGAUUUCACACUGAAAAUCAGCUGGGUGGGGGCUGAGGAUGUUGGGGUUUAUUACUGCACGCAGGCUCUACAGCUUCUUCCCACAGUGGUACAACCCCAUAGAGAAACCUGCCUGCUGGGGUGUCCCAGCUGCUCACAUGCACUGCUUGUCUGGGGAGCAGGUCAGCAGGGUCUCUGAGUCUGCAGAAGAAGAGGCUGUUGGAGAAUUCAGGGCAAAGUUUGUUGCUCAGGACUCCGGCCCAUGAGAGCCUCAGCUGCACCUCAGUCCCACAUGUUAAGGCCCCAUCAGCUGUCACAUGUGGCCACGUGCUCUGAGAACAGCCAGCUCUGAUGAAGGAAGAGUGAAUGAAAGCUCAUCCUCAGCCUCCCUGUCUGGCCCACAUUUGUCGAGUCCAUUUAUCUGUAGAACAAUCAGAUCAUGGAUGCAGGUUAGUGCUAACUCAAGUGAAAUACAUGUUGGAAAUGACUGGUUUGGGGAUAGUUUUAUACAUGGUAACACUUGGUCAUGUUUGGAAAUUACUGUCUUCCCACUUUCCAAGCUUUCUCUCUCCUUUACCACUCACAUGAACCUACCCUUCCUAGUAGUAUGGUGGAGAAAGCAUUUUACACCAGCUAUUUUCGCGGGAGUAUGGCUAAGAAUAAUCAGUUAUAAUGUUUGAUUUUUUUUACUACUUAUAGAUUUUUAAAAUCCAGUGGAAAUAUACAUCCUAAUACCAAAAUAGUUUGAUUUACCUUAAUUACCUUUUGCUGACAAAAAAUGAGGUUCUUAUAAUUCCAAAAGUGGGAUAUGAAAAUAAACAAAAUAACUCAGAAGGAAAACAUAAAGUUUACAUAACGUACCAUAAGAACAAUGCAGAACUGUAUGAGGCUUUUAUUCUCAAAUUCUUAGAAUUUUAAAAGUAUUUUACUGACAUAGUACUUUAGAGAGGAAAUAUUUAGUACUAUGUUGUCAUAAGAAAAUCAUUCAAAGAAUGAAUAAAUGCAUUAUUUUUAUGUGACACUAUUUUUUCCUGAAAAUAAAUCUGAAUCCUCUAUUUUAGUUGUAAAUGCAUAGAAAAAUUAUGCUCUUAAUAGAUUCUAUUGACAAUAAUGUUCUAAAUUUAUAUGCUUUCUUAAUACGAGGGCUACGGUCUGAUACAUAUCUGUAUACGUUUUGCCAUGCAAAUUUUAAACCUAACAGACAUGCUUUCUGUUAAAAAAUCAGUAGUGCUUUCUCCACCAUAAUGCUAGAGAGGGCAGUUUCGUGUGAAUGGUAAAGGAGAGAGAACGUUUGGAAAGUGGGAAGAGAGCAAUUUCCCAAUAUGACCAAGUGUUACCACAUAAAAAAACUAUCCCCAAACCAGUCAUUUCUAACAUGUAUUUCACUUGUGUUACCACUAAUCUGCAUCCAUGAUCUGAUUGUCCUGCCAAAUAAAUUUAUAUGAAUCCGAGUAAUGAGUGAUGCCUUUUACAUGUGACAACACGGUGUAGAGAGAGAAAAAGGCUGAUUGAAUCAAUAGAACAAGAUCCCGAUGCAGGCUAAUGGUUUAAAUUAUGCUUGAGAUGAUUUAUAUUAAGAUAACAGAUUCUGUAGUAAGUGCAAUUAAAAUUCCAAUGUGUCAUUUCUGUUAGGUUUAAAAGUUGCAUGGCAAAAUGUACAUACAUAUUUAUUAGAUCGUAGCCCUCAAAUUAAGAAACAUAAACACUUAAUAUGUUAUUCAAAAAUACUAAUUAAUGCAUCAUUUAACCUAAAUGUUAUUACAGAAUGCAGUAAAAGAAAAUAAAAUGUAAAUAGCAAGAGCAGGAGCUAAGCAAUGCCAUCGUCACUUUUAGCCCUCCUGUGAUUGACAGCACCUAGCCACCUUGAGUUUCUGCUUUUCUAUGAGACAGGAGAUAAAAUCAAAACCCAUUCAAGGUGGUUAGAUAUAUUUUUAGGAAAAGCAAACAAAUGUACAACCUACAUGAUGCUGAUAUCCCAAAGGUCUAUACUCUCAAGUCAAAUUGGUGAAAAAUGCAUGAUUCCAAAUCUGAAAGGGGAGAGAUACAAGGAGAAUCAGAGCAUAAUCAAAUUUAUUACAAAAAAGCCUCAAAAUAUGGUGGACUAAAUGGAACAAGGUUUCUGUGUCUGUGCCAUGGCAGUGCAGAGGCAGGCAGGUGGCCUUGGUGAUGUAGGUGGCUCUGCUCCACGAGGUCAGUCAGGUAGGCAGGAGGCACGAACACCCUGAGGACACAGCCUUCCUCCUACCUUAGAGUCCCUGUCCCCAUGGCCAUCCUCAGCAGCAUGAGGUGGGACAGAGUGGAGAGAAAGUUGUUUUUUCUAAGGACCAAAAAUAAAAACAGAAACAAAUAAAACCUUGAGCUUUCCAUCAGUGACAAAUGUACUUUUGACUCAAUCACAGAUUUGAGAAAUUUUCCAUUGAGUGGAUCUCCUGAUAAAGCCACAUUCGUUGUUUGUUUGUUUUAAUCUGAAAAUGUGUUUACAUGAUUCUUGUAGAUUUUUUUUGACAACAAACUUACAUAUGUGGUAGCCUAUUUGAAGUUGUCAUUUACUAUUUCAUAAUUGCUGCUAAAAAGUUAUUUGUUAAAAA
This is a non-coding RNA of Piliocolobus tephrosceles (Ugandan red Colobus), 3202 nucleotides long. The record is from the annotation of a RefSeq genome assembly. Lineage: Eukaryota; Metazoa; Chordata; Mammalia; Primates; Cercopithecidae.